UGUACCUACACACUAGUUACUAAAAACUGUCAGAGUGUCGAGUCUGUCACAUUAGUCAUCACAGUGACAUGUAUAGUUGCUACUACUCUCUAGCCUAGACUAGGUCGAUAUGCACAAUGUUGGGAAGAUCAGUUAGAAAGCGAAAAGUGCGACCUUGCUCUGCAACAGAACACCACCAGGGUUGUAACAGUUGGACCAGAGCCCUAGACAACAAUGACACACCAGUUUUUACAAAUGGGUCACCAGACUGAACUGGAUUUACGACUCAUCACGCCACUAACUCAACUCCUUUAGGUCACAUACAUUUGUACAUUGGAUCAUCAUCAGACGUCAUUUAUGCAAACCCCCAGAGCUCUGCAUUAGUAUGUUCCAGUUCACAGUUGAUAAUUUACCAGGUAAUCAUCAGAUUUACAAAAGCAGUAUAUUACUUUUAAGUUAAACCCCUACAUGUACAUGUGAUUCUAACAUAUAACAAACAUAUGUAUAAAGAUUAA
Mytilus californianus (California mussel) is the source of this 494-nucleotide long non-coding RNA. RefSeq lists it as uncharacterized. The record is from RefSeq and is a predicted model, not a curated record. NCBI's taxonomy places the organism in Eukaryota, Metazoa, Mollusca, Bivalvia, Mytilida, Mytilidae. The transcript is spliced from 2 exons.